GGUUGGACAUCCCGGUCAAGGACUCUGGACUUUCACUCCAGUAACCCGGGUUCGAAAGCCUCGAACGACGAAUCGUUCAAGAUUUGUCGGCAAGGCCGCCAAUCCCGGACGGAGCA
This 116-nucleotide transfer RNA is filed under the name Microcaldota archaeon. RNAcentral describes it as "tRNA-Glu". The record is from RNAcentral. Lineage: Archaea; Nanobdellati; Microcaldota.